GGACGGAGGGAGUAUUAUUCUCAAGCCUAUGGUCUUCUGUGCGUUAGAUAUGCACCUUGAUUCAACGAAAGUGUAUAAGUAAAUAUCGAUAGCAUAAGUUAACACAAGUUGCAUAUGAUUAAAAAAUGAUGUCUGUUACUUCUAAAUGGGAACUCACAGGUAGCACGAUUUUCCAUAUCUUGUUUUGCUGCUAAGGUUCAGGAGGGUAGCAAAAUUGUUUUAGAAAGUGGUAUACAAAAACGGAUUCUGUUUUCAGUCAAAAAUAAGGAUACUGAUCAUAACAAGACUUAGCUUUAAUUAAAAGAGUAAACCUUGACUUGCAUGCUAUAUACAAACUAUACCACUCUUUUAGUAUAAUGCCAGAAUGGCUUGUUUGUUGGAUAGAUAUUGUCAUUGACUGCCAUGUGCCUCUUGCGCUUGACUUCUAAGAGUUUUCAAGAUCAUUACUAUGGAAAACUAACUGGACUGGAAUUCCAACAAAAGAAAGGAAGCCAAUAUCAUUCUGGCUACCAACACAAAAACACACCCCUCAAAUAGGCAAUCAUGGAAGUACACAUACAUACAGAGAGAGAGAGAGAGAGAGAGAGAGAGAGAGAGACAGAGAGAGGUCCAGUCAACUCAAUCUGAUUGGGACGUGGAUGUCAGGGCAACCACCCCAGGUUUUGAUGAAGCGAUGGUGGUCAGCGAGUGGUCUUGAGCGGCUAGGGCUGCGGAGUGUCCAGGUCAUGUGGCGCUAGGGAUGGGCAUUCAGGUAAUAUUGUUAUCGGUUUGGUCAUUUCGGGUUUGCAAAAAACACAGGUUUCCUGAAAUGAAAACCGAACCCACUCUUGAGUAGCGUAAAUACUUGGGAACCCGUACGGACCAAAAAUUCGGUUUUGUCUGUUAGGGUACAAGAAACCAUCUUCUGUGGUAACCUCCAGGCUCCAGAGGGCUCCAAGCCUCCAAAUCCAGGUCACUGUUAUGGCAUUUCAUUGUUCAAGAAAUCAGUAAUCGGUAACUGCUCGGUCGGGUAGGGAUUAGCGAUUAAUCGGUUAUCGGACUGAUUAAUCGGUUUAAUCGGUCGACUAUUACACUAUAUAGUAUAUAUAAUUAUAUAUUGGCCUACUUGCCGCAUGAGAAUCUUGGGAAGGUGCAGCCAUCUAAAACAAAUCAAGAGAAGCAAAGGCAUCAGUGAAAAUAGAUGGGAGCAGCAGCAGCUUGGGAGGAAGCAAAGGCAUCAUUGAAGCUCUUCAAGGCUUCGAGCAGGGGCUGGCCGGCGGAUUAAUCCCGAUUAAUCGGUUGUCAGACCGAUUAAUCGGCUUGGGCGAUUAACUGCGGCGAUAAGUGUUAAUCUGCACGGUGGUCUGCCGAUCAGCGAUUAAUCGGCCGAUUAAUCGCUGAAUCGGCCGAUUUCUUGAACAAUGUGGCAUUUAUGGCUGCGGAACAGGCAACAAAAAAGUACUAAUAAGAUUCAGAAUUCCAGAGCCAAUUUGGACCCUAAUUCCGGCCGUUGUCGAUUUGGUGCUCGCUUGGGUGGUUGCAUCACCGCUUGUUGACAUUGGUUGCAGGCUCGCCGGAGCUCCCAGCUUCAUGCAGUGUCUGGGUCGAAAAGGUCUGCCUGGCAAAGAUGCAAUCUUGCCGCUGGGGAUCUCCUGAACGGGCCACUGUCACGUUUGAGGAUAGGAGUUUGUCUUAUUGAUGUCGUAGCGGCAACUGGGAACCCCACAUGUGUGGGUUGCUAGGGCAAAAACGGGUUUUGAGGUACUUAUGCCUCUGGUCAGGCCUUACAUGGAGUGGAAAAUAAGGAGUUAGUGCUUUAUUUAUUAGGGUAUGUGGUCUGUUCAGCUUCCAUGGACUCGAAUCUGACUUUAGAAUCAUAGACCAAACAGCAGCAGGAUUGUGGCCAAACCCCGAGAACCGAACUACCCGGCAAUUUGGUGUAUUUGAGUCUGGCCCGGUUUUUGGAUUUUCGUCAGAAUGUGCCCACCCCUAUGUGGCGCUUGAGCUCGUGGGGGCAUGAGGUGCAUGUUAGGCAAGCGGCCCUCAAAUGUGUUGUCAGUGGCUUUCGCAGGGCGCAGGGUGUCUCUGUAUGUGGGUUGUGGUGCAGGCGUUUGGACACGUGCCAUGUAGGUGGCGAGUUUGCGCCGUUGGCAGGUGCAAGUUCCAGGCCUAUUUGAGCUAGGUGGGCUGCGUGUGCCUGUUGGUUGUUUUUGACCGGUUUCCGUCAUUAACCGGUCAACUGUGAGGCUUUCGGUCCUGUUUCCCUUGUAAGCUGGAUCAAUUCUUUCUGCUUAAUGAAUAGCCAGAGCUCCUGUUAGUUGCCUGAAAAGAGAGGUUGGGAGAGAGAGAGAGAGGUGAAUUGUGUGGAUGGAAGGCCAGUAAGGGGAAAGAAAGAGAUUCCUGGAAUUGUACUUGCAAAGUUAAUUAGGGACUCAAGCACCUUAUGGUGCGUGGCAGCACCGCAUGCUGCAACAAAUGGCCACUGGUACAAUUUUGACACACGGUGAACCAAUUACACUAUUUCUGUGACAAUUUUAGACAUACUUCCACCUAUCUCGCAAGUUGUGUGUGGUGAGUCGUUCUACGUGUGGUGAACCAAUUAAUAAUAUUUACAAUGGUCAUGUGUUGAAACUAAUCCGCCAUUUUAAGGGUUCACGAGCAAAUUAUAAAUUUUACGCUGUCGUCAGCAAACAAAAGCAGUGCCCAAUAGCUAAAUCUGCCAAGUAAUACUGUUAUGUGUCAUUAGGGUGUAUCAACAAACAAGUGCAGUGUCGAAUAGCCAAAACUGUUGACUAAUACUUUUACGUGUCGUAUUAU
RNAcentral lists this long non-coding RNA (2796 nucleotides) under Brachypodium distachyon (stiff brome). Its description in RNAcentral is "long non-coding RNA (BDIS_LNC000789)". The record is from RNAcentral. Lineage: Eukaryota; Viridiplantae; Streptophyta; Magnoliopsida; Poales; Poaceae.